AUGCCUUACACAUGCAAGUCGAACGGCAGCACGGGGGCAACCCUGGUGGCGAGUGGCGAACGGGUGAGUAAUACAUCGGAACGUGUCCUGUAGUGGGGGAUAGCCCGGCGAAAGCCGGAUUAAUACCGCAUACGAUCUACGGAUGAAAGCGGGGGAUCUUCGGACCUCGCGCUAUAGGGGCGGCCGAUGGCGGAUUAGCUAGUUGGUGGGGUAAAGGCUCACCAAGGCGACGAUCCGUAGCUGGUCUGAGAGGACGACCAGCCACACUGGGACUGAGACACGGCCCAGACUCCUACGGGAGGCAGCA
RNAcentral lists this ribosomal RNA (307 nucleotides) under Burkholderia sp. DV4. RNAcentral describes it as "bacterial SSU rRNA". It matches the Rfam family "Bacterial small subunit ribosomal RNA", at positions 45 to 353 of the family's 1533-position model. Lineage: Bacteria; Pseudomonadati; Pseudomonadota; Betaproteobacteria; Burkholderiales; Burkholderiaceae. The record is from RNAcentral. RNAcentral also lists the same sequence under 3 other names.